AUAUAUAUUACUAGACUGAUCAAGACAGGAUGAUGUAUAGACUUGUUAUUGUCAGAAUGUUUUUAUAUAUACGACUUAAAGGUAAUUAUAUGGACGCUAUAUGAUGAAAGGCAGCUUAUCCUAUCUUGAUAAGAUAUUAAGUAUAAUUUUGAUUUUAUAUUGGUGUAUGAACUCAUGUUAGUGUAGGAGAGGACGGGAAGUGGUGUUGGGGUAGAUGACAGUCUAUGACCUAAGUGGUGUUGGGGUAGAUGACAGUCUAUGAUCUAAGUGGUGUUGGGGUAGAUGACAGUCUAUGAUCUAAGUGGUGUUGGGGUAGAUGACAGUCUAUGACCUAAGUGGUGUUGGGGUAGAUGACAGUCUAUGACCUAAGUGGUGUUGGGGUAGAGGACAGCCUAUGACCUAAGUGGUGUUGGAGUAGAUGACAGUCUAUGACCUAAGUGGUGUUGGGGUAGAGGACAGCCUAUGACCUAAGUGGUGUUGGGGUAGAUGACAGUCUAUGACCUAAGUGGUGUUGGGGUAGAGGACAGUCUAUGACCUAAGUGGUGUUGGGGUAGAGGACAGCCUAUGACCUAAGUGGUGUUGGGGUAGAGGACAGUCUAUGACCUAAGUGGCGUUGGGGUAGAGGACAGCCUAUGACCUAAGUGGUGUUGGGGUAGAGGACAGCCUAUGACCUAAGUGGUGUUGGGGUAGAGGACAGCCUAUGACCUAAGUGGUGUUGGGGUAGAGGACAGCCUAUGACCUAAGUGGUGUUGAGGUAGAGGACAGCCUAUGACCUAAGUCAAGGUUCUCUCGGGGAACUGCCUUGGGCAUGUGCCUACAUCAUAUUAUAAUUUGUAUUUCGUUGUUAGCGUAACCUGAUAAUGUAAUGUAUGAUAAGUUUAACUGUGGUGAGAGAAUAAAUGGCCAUAACAGUAAAUCUAUGUAAACUGCACGCACUUAAAGUGUUAUUGACGAUAUUGAUUCUUGCAACAUCCUCCAUCCUCUGCUUAGCUUCAUUUAUAAGCACAUAUUCUUAAGGUUCUCUUUAUAAAAAACAUAACUGGUGCAUGGAGGAAGAUUAUUAACAUUACGUAUGUAAAGUUGCCACUCAGAAUUCCAUUUUAUUGUGACUUCACCUCUCACUCUUGAUGCAAAAAUCAUAAUGGUAACCUACUACUUAUGUCAUUGUGGAAGUUACGAAUUACGAUACUCAUCACAGAAUAUUGAUUUAUUUUACGGGGAGCGCUAUACACGAAGGAGGUCAUACAGUGCAAUGGGGAAUGGGAGUAAGCAGAUUAGCUCCAAGGAGAGGGAGAGUUGCUCCAGUUCUUUGGAUCAAGAAGCCUUCACCCACAUUAAGGCCCCUGAAGCUUGAACAAUUAUGGGGGCCCCUUCGCAACCCCUUCUUAUUCAGUAGACCCAAUUUUUUUAAGCAAUGUGAACUAAAGUCGCCUCUUGGGUCCACCUGGGAUUUGGGGCCCUGGAGCUUAAGCUUCAUUAGUUUUAUAGUAUAUCCGUCCCUGUGUUUAACUAGCGGUAUACAGGUGAAAUGUAGCCUUAAGAGGCACGGAAGUUCCCCCGUCAUCUUCAUUUUUGCACUAUAAUUAUAGUGGAAAAUGAACAUGUUAUUAGAAGACGGGGGUACUUAUGGGUCCCUUAAUAACCUUAAUAGUCUGUGGCCUCUUAUCCUAACAAACCAACUUUUCAUUCUGUGAGUAAACAUACCACUAUACAGUAAGCAUACCACUAUACAGUAAGCAUACCCCUAUACAGUAAGUAUACCACUAUACAGUAAGUAUACCACUAUACAGUAAGGACGGUAAUAUAUACAAUUAAUGAAUGCAAGUGUUGUAGCUGGCGUUGUUUCCACAUUCCCCAAGACGCUGUAUAAUUCCUAUGGGUUUAACACUCCCAUAAAAUAAAUUUUGUUAUAUGUAAAUUGCACUUCCUGGAGGGAGCCUCCAAGUUGAGGUGUGAAUGUGGCUCACUAAACUGACUUGUUUUAAACACAAGAAGGGUCAGAUGGCUAGCUAUAAUGUGUGCUCAACUACCCGUAAAUGCACUAAUACUACCUGGCCUCUAGCUUAGUCAAAGACUCAUGCAGACUUGUAUAAUGUUGUCCUCUUGUUCUAGCUAAACAUAACAUACAGUACACAUAGGCUACUGAGCUUUGGGUCGAAUUAUCAUAUCUGCACUUCCCUUCUGCUCUAAACAAUGACAAAGUGAAGCAUUUAAAAAUGCAUCACAUAGUGAAAUUAGGUAAAACAAUAUCGAAAAAUACGUGCAAGGAGUAUAUUUGAAAAUUAGAUUUAAUUAAGACUAGGUUCUUUGGUUGCGGUGUAUGCAUUCUGAUUUGUAUUCUGUUAACAUCAAAAUUUCAUUUACAAAAUUAUUCCCCUUUGUUACACAGAAUUAUGAAAUUAACUACCAUACAAAGUGAAACUUGUGAUAUGGUAAUUGUAGCAGCCUCUUCCAGCCUAUGAUAAAAUAGAGGCCUCAGACAACUGGCCGGCCCAAUUCAGUAUUGUAUCCAUAAUUAUCUAUUUACUUAUUACUAAUUACCUAAUUAUUGUAUGCUUAAUAAUCUACCCUGUUUAGCUCUUCCGGCUCCAUAUAGUUAUUGUACUGUACACAAUAGGCUCAAAACAACCACAUGGGAUGGAAAUUUUAGCUCAAGCUCUUUUUUUUACUCUGUGCAUCGUCAGGAACUAUGCAAUGUUGCAAGGCUAGCAACAGAUAGUAGGGGAAAAAUUCUCUGAGGCAAAACAGAAGUGUAAAAGCGUCAGGUCCAUGUCACAGUCUAGACUCGAGACUGUGACAUAGCCUCACGACUGUGACAUAGUUCCUGACGAUACACAGAGUACAGAUCUUGAGCUAAAGAUUUCCAUCCCCUGUUUCUUGUUCUGCAUUGCUGAGAUCACUUAUUGGCGACUGUAUUGCAAUACAAUAGGUUGUCUGUGUUUAUUGUUGCGGUAUUUAGUCUUUUCCAUUUGAUAUUAAUAAGGAUGCGAUGAGUGUAGCUGUAGAAACAUAGUGAUAUAGGAAGAACAUUCAUCAUGGGAUUUGUGCCAGUAGUAGGCCUGAGGUGUUGCUGUCACAAAUGGCCUACUUGUAUACUUAAGAUAAUUAUUCUUGUAUUGAUAUCCCUGUGAUCUCUGGGUGCAGGUACUCUCAAAGAAGUGGCAAUAUCACAUUACUUGAUUAUUAGUAUAUAUGAAUGACAGCUAUGUACUCAGUUGUGACUGCAGGAGUCAAAUGUCUGCUCCAUUGGUAUUAAGGACAUGUAUAUGUGUCAAUGUUGGGAGUAGCUCACCCAAUUGUGGCUGCAUGGGGUCGAUUCUGCUCUUGUGGUAUGGCUAAAGAGUGCCUCUCAGCCCAAGUGUUUUUUGUGUUUACAUAAGAUAUGUCCUGGUAUUACAACCCCGUGACUUGUCUAGUGGACUGCUUCAUGGGCCCGUCUCGCAGCCCUUCUCUUUGGAGGGGUCAAGGUGGGAAUGCCUAGGCCUAUCCUGGAAUGAACCUACCAGUCACAGGACAAGGUAAACAGCAUUCCAAGUAUCUGGUGUGUACUACGUACCUCUUGGCAGGCCAAGGCACGUAGGUGUGGUAUUCUUGGAUGACACUUUAUUUAAGUGGGGUCUCAAAGUCGCACCCUAACCAACUGAGUUCCACUUAAGUGAAACACAAGUGGUGUGACACAUGCAUAUAGCUGGACUUAAUACAAAGAUUGACUCUGAAAUUCUAGCUUAAGUAAAGUGCUUUUCUUGAGUACUACUCAUGUUUAUAUAUCGCAUGGUCCUGUGUUUGGCUUCUUAUUAAUUCCAUAUUUUAUUGCUAGAAUUGAUUUUACUCUUGUUUAUUCAUGAAGAGAAUACUGGCUGACGAGGACCAGGCCUGGGAAAUAUGCAUAAUAUUUAUGUACUGGACUAUGCCAGCCAUUCUGAAUGGCACACUUGUAAUCCAUUCACCUCACUAUUCCAUCACUACUCACACUUUCCUCGUUUGGCAUUAUUUUUCCCUCAACCCUAAUGCUUUUUCAACACUCACACUUUACUCACCUCACUCUUCUGACAUGUUUCAUGUUAACCUGUCAUCCCUUGUGUUGUCAGCUCACUACACAUGUUAACCAGCCUUGUGUUUUCACGACAAAAAUCUUCACUAUUAAAUUCUUGACACAUGUGCACAAACUCGCAAUAAAACAAUUACAACAAAUGCUGUAUAUUUCGGGUUCACAUCAACACCAUUUUCAUCAGACUCAAAAUGAUCUUUUUGAAAAUGGCCCUUUUUCCUUACACUAUAAAAAAAAUUCUUUGCAUUAAAUGCCUUUUUCUACGCACUGUAAACCAUGGAGGAGAGAUAACUUGAAGGUUAUAUGCAUGAGUUUAAGCAUAUCAGGCAAAGCAAAUUAUAUCACAUGUGCAAGAUAACAUAGGUUGUGGUCCUGACAAAGAUAGUGGUCCUAACAUAGGUCGUGGUCCUAACAUAGGUCGUGGUCCUAACAUAGGUCGUGGUCCUAGUAUAGGUCGUGGUCCUAACAAAGGUAGUGGUCCUAACAGAUGGGGGUCAUAACAUAGGUCGUGGUCCUAACAAAGAUAGUGGUCCUAACGUAGGUCGUGGUCAUAAAGACAGUGGUCCUAACACAGGUUGUGGUCCUGACGAAGGACUAGCAUAGGUCGUGGUCCUAAGGUAGUGGCCCUAACAUAGGUUGUGGUCCUAAAAGGUAGUGGUUCUAACACAGGUUGUGGUCCUAAGGUAGUGGUUCUAACACAGGUUGUGGUCCUAAGGUAGUGGUUCUAACAGGUUGUGGUCCUAAGGUAGUGGUUCUAACACAGGUUGUGGUCCUGACGAAGGACUAACAGAUCGUAGGCUUAACAAAGGACUACAAGAGGUUGAGGUGUGUGUAGUGAGAAUGGUUGGUGUGUCCAAGUUAGAGUUACAUAAGUCAAAGGAGAAUUUGCGUUACCAGAGUUGCAGUAUUAUAGUGUUGAGCAGCUAGUGAAGGGAAGGUCCUCUCUGGCAGCUAGUGAAGGGAAGGUCCUCUCUGGCAGCUAGUGAAGGGAAGGUCCUCUCUGGCAGCUAGUGAAGGGAAGGUCCUCUCUGGCAGCUAGUGAAGGGAAGGUCCUCUCUGGCAGCUAGUGAAGGGAAGGUCCUCUCUGGCAGCUAGUGAAGGGAAGGUCCUCUCUGGCAGCUAGUGAAGGGAAGGUCCUCUCUGGCAGCUAGUGAAGGGAAGGUCCUUUUGGCAGCUAGUGAAGGGAAGGUCCUCUCUGGCAGCUAGUGAAGGGAAGGUCCUCUCUGGCAGCUAGUGAAGGGAAGGUCCUCUCUGGCAGCUAGUGAAGGGAAGGUCCUCUCUGGCACCUGAGGCCACUUACCUUCUCAAGUGCUUCUGCACUUUACCACACUUACAAUUUCUAAAUGCAACUCGUUUUUCAGUUCUUCAAUGCGCCUUAAAAUUCACAUUUUGCAAGGUUAAGCCUUCAGUUCGUGUGACGAUUCACUUAAUUAUAUCAUGUAACAUUAACAGGAAAAAAUAACAAUUACAGAAACUGAAUAUUUCAGCCUGCAUCUGAGGCCUAAUUUUGUGUACAACCACCAUCAUAUAUGUCUGAAAUUCCCCUGACAAAUUCAAAAUAAAGUAUUCUCAGCAGUUACAAAAGUACCCACAGCUGUCGAUUUUUUUAAUUACUUUUUAUUUAUGUAUAUGUGUGGAGACACAGUUGACAUUAAGUCUAUUAUUUACCCAGUAACUUACAUUUUCCCAAACUAAACUUGUCACUGCAAAACUGUCACUAAUUCUGCCACAAAUAUAGCGAGAGAUGAGAUGAUAUGUAAAUUUUGGUCAAGUUUUCAGAGAGAAGAUAUAUUCUACCAUUGUUUAUUUGGUAAAGAGAAAUAUAUAUAUGAAUUAUCCAGCGGGGUAUAAGAAAUAUUUGUUGCCUUAAUAAGUUAGUUUAAGUUUAAUAUUGAUCCGGGAGUAAGUGCCUUAAUAGGGUAUUUUUUUUUGACCUUGAGACAAAGUUCUGAGUCAGACAAACAACCCAAUAAUUUAAUUAAAUAAAUUUUACUACCAAUCAAAUGUCAAUAAUGUUCAGAGUUCAAUUAUAAUAAUUAGUAAGCUUAAUUGCUGACUCUGAAUUGUGUUUUAGCAGGUUGUUAUAUGAAGCAUGAGUCAGUAUUAACAUAGUGUGACACAAGCAGUAAUUGUACUUAAUAAACUCGCCUUAUCUCAGCUUUGUUGUUAAAUAAACAGUAGUGAAAAA
Molecule: non-coding RNA, 6236 nt
Organism: Cherax quadricarinatus
Lineage: Eukaryota; Metazoa; Arthropoda; Malacostraca; Decapoda; Parastacidae
Source: RefSeq, a predicted model, not a curated record